CCUACGGGUGGCAGCAGUGAGGAAUAUUGGUCAAUGGGCGAGAGCCUGAACCAGCCAAGUCGCGUGAGGGAGUACUGCCCUCUGGGUUGUAAACCUCUUUUGUCGGGGAGCACAAGCCGGACGUGUCCGGCUGUGAGAGUACCCGAAGAAAAAGCAUAGGCUAACUCCGUGCCAGCAGCCGCGGUAAUACGGAGGAUGCGAGCGUUAUCCGGAUUGAUUGGGUUUAAAGGGUGAGCAGGCGGAUUUUUAAGUCAGCGGUAAAAUCGUGGGGCUCAACCCCAUCCAGCCGUUGACACUGGGGAUCUAGAGUGUGCGAGAGGUAUGCGGAAUGCGUGGUGUAGCGGUGAAAUGCAUAGAUAUCACGCAGAACCCCGAUUGCGAAGGCAGCAUACCGGUGCACAACUGACGCUCAGGCACGAAAGCGUGGGUAUCGAACAGGAUUAGAUACCCGGGUAGUC
Molecule: ribosomal RNA, 458 nt
Filed under: uncultured bacterium
Lineage: Bacteria
Description: partial 16S ribosomal RNA
Rfam family: Bacterial small subunit ribosomal RNA
Source: RNAcentral